This 114-nucleotide small nuclear RNA is filed under the name Coturnix japonica (Japanese quail). Its description in RNAcentral is "U5 spliceosomal RNA (ENSCJPG00005009743.1)". It matches the Rfam family "U5 spliceosomal RNA". From Rfam's summary of the family: U5 RNA is a component of both types of known spliceosome. The precise function of this molecule is unknown, though it is known that the 5' loop is required for splice site selection and p220 binding, and that both the 3' stem-loop and the Sm site are important for Sm protein binding and cap methylation. Lineage: Eukaryota; Metazoa; Chordata; Aves; Galliformes; Phasianidae. The record is from Rfam by way of RNAcentral.
AUACUCUGGUUUCUCUUCAGAUCGUAUAAAUCUUUCGCCUUUUACUAAAGAUUUCCGUGGAGAGGAACAAGCACGAGUGUCGUGGAAUUUUUUGAGGCUCCCGCUUGGCGAGCU